UCGCCGAUAAGGGCUCAUCUACGCCGCCGGCAGCUAGUGUGACGACGAUUCCGGUUAAAGGGAAACCUCUGCUAUUCCUUGCUUCCGGGCUCACUUCUGUUUCAUCCUCUUCUCAAGCCACUCGAGCUAAAAGAAAAAUGGCAAUAAAGUUUCUUGAUUGGUACUUAAAGGUUGCAGUUGGUUCGGCUCUAAUUGGAGGUUCCAUGGAGUUAUUCAUGAUCAAGACUGGCUUCUAUGACAAAGUGACUGUUCUAGAGUCUGAGAAGCGAGCUUGGGAGAAUUCCCCUGAAGCUCAGGCAAUGAGAGAAGCUCUUAAUCCUUGGAGAAAUCAUGAUGCACAAGAAAGAAAAUGUUCCUAAUGGAGCCACAUCUGAUUUGAGUUUUUGAU
Molecule: long non-coding RNA, 388 nt
Organism: Hibiscus syriacus
Lineage: Eukaryota; Viridiplantae; Streptophyta; Magnoliopsida; Malvales; Malvaceae
Exons: 4
Source: RefSeq, a predicted model, not a curated record